AGUGAACGCUGGCGGUAGGCCUAACACAUGCAAGUCGAACGGCAGCACAGUAAGAGCUUGCUCUUACGGGUGGCGAGUGGCGGACGGGUGAGGAAUACAUCGGAAUCUACUUUUUCGUGGGGGAUAACGUAGGGAAACUUACGCUAAUACCGCAUACGACCUACGGGUGAAAGCAGGGGAUCUUCGGACCUUGCGCGAUUGAAUGAGCCGAUGUCGGAUUAGCUAGUUGGCGGGGUAAAGGCCCACCAAGGCGACGAUCCGUAGCUGGUCUGAGAGGAUGAUCAGCCACACUGGAACUGAGACACGGUCCAGACUCCUACGGGAGGCAGCAGUGGGGAAUAUUUGACAAUGGGCGCAAGCCUGAUCCAGCCAUACCGCGUGGGUGAAGAAGGCCUUCGGGUUGUAAAGCCCUUUUGUUGGGAAAGAAGAGCAGCAGGUUAAUACCCCGCUGUUCUGACGGUACCCAAAGAAUAAGCACCGGCUAACUUCGUG
This 492-nucleotide ribosomal RNA is filed under the name uncultured bacterium. RNAcentral's name for it is "partial 16S ribosomal RNA". It matches the Rfam family "Bacterial small subunit ribosomal RNA", at positions 29 to 507 of the family's 1533-position model. The record is from RNAcentral.